AUGGAUCAGAAGGGAAACCAUGACACAGAGAUGGCGAUAAUCUCCGAUCAGGAGAUGAUUUACGAGAUGAUCAGGAAACUACUCAAUGAGAUGGAGCCGCUUCCUGGGAGGAUGUCCAACCUGCCGGACAAGCACCGAGAUCAGCCUGUCAGCAGGACUGUAGGCCUCCAACUCCAGAGCUUCGAGUUCAUCCAGGCUGAGCUGAGCAGCACGAUAGAAUUACCGAGCCACCUGCUAUCCUCAGAGCUGGGGCUGGAUUUGGUUGACAACGAGGGCUUCAAGGAGUGGUUGUACGCGUUACGCCGCGUGGCUCCGAGUAUGAAUGCUUACAUCCAUCAAUGUGACCAAGCUGCACACUGUGGAUGUCAUGCACAGAUACACAGAACAGCCGCAGACUUCUUCUUUCGUCUUGCGGGGCUCCCACUGCCACCAUAUCCACGUGGAGUCAGAGAUAUUGAGGGAAUCAUAUCCCACAUCACUGAACGACCCUUCAGGUACAUGAAUCUUCUGAUGGCGGAUGAUGGUCGUCGUUCUACCUCAACGGCGUCUGGUUUUGUGCAGCCAUAUACCUACACAGACGCUGGUGAAAAUGGUCUUGUUGGCAUGGAAGAUACCCUACGAAAUAAGGUGGUAAGGCUGUUCAUGGAUGAUAGCAAUGAUCUUAAAGUAAUCACAAUCGUUGGACCUGCUGGGGUGGGGAAGACGACUGUUGCAAAGGUGAUCUGCGACAAACUCCAAAAGAGGGGACACUGCCACGGCGAGGGUCGAGGUCACCCAAAGGCCUGA
This 786-nucleotide ribosomal RNA is filed under the name Triticum aestivum (bread wheat). RNAcentral's name for it is "partial small subunit ribosomal RNA". The record is from RNAcentral. Lineage: Eukaryota; Viridiplantae; Streptophyta; Magnoliopsida; Poales; Poaceae.